This is a long non-coding RNA of Zingiber officinale, 722 nucleotides long. RefSeq lists it as uncharacterized. NCBI's taxonomy places the organism in Eukaryota, Viridiplantae, Streptophyta, Magnoliopsida, Zingiberales, Zingiberaceae. The transcript has 4 exons. The record is from RefSeq and is a predicted model, not a curated record.
UCCCGUUUUCUUUUUCCCUCCCGCGAGCCCGAGCCAUCCCCGACGCCUUCCCCUCGGACCCGACGGCUGUGCCCUAACCGCUCGGCGCCGGUUGUUUCCUCCCUUCCACUCCUUCUUCUUCUCCACUUCGCCUCCCAGUGCCGAGUUCUUUCUCCUCUUGGCAGCGUCGCCGGCCACCUCCUCUGUACCGCCCACCAGAUCUGACCCAGCGUCGUUGUCGCCUUUGCCCUAGCGUCGCCAAUCGAGCCUUCUCCGCCGCUGGGAUCAAGACGCGCCGCUCGACCUUGUGAGCCGACGCCGACUGUCGGCCCUCCUUCUGAUUUCCGCGACACUGAGCCCUAGUUUUUGAAGCCGUCGUCGCCACUGGAUCGCCGCCGUGCCCUAGCAAGUAGCCGGCGUUGCACAGAGUAGAGCCACCCCUCACUGCUCCGCCUCUUCUCUGUUCUUGAGCAAUCCUUCAUUGUGGUAGAAUUAGGUCACGGUUAAGAAAAACUUGGGAUUUCCAGCAGCAAUCAUUUUGUGCUGGCAGCAACAGUCCUGGUGUGGAUCAACAAGCACAGCUACGAGAUAGGACUUGCUGUGGGGUUUUCUUGGUUCAACAAUUUAAUCCAGUAGUUGUUUACAUUAGAUCCAGCAGCAACUACAGUUGUGAAUUGAGAUAAGAGGACUUUGACGCGAGACGAGUAUCUCGGAGUCAGAUUUGGAUCAUUUUAUCGGAGGCG